GAGGAGCUGAUGUACAGGUCC
This 21-nucleotide non-coding RNA is filed under the name Arabidopsis thaliana (thale cress). The record is from RNAcentral. Lineage: Eukaryota; Viridiplantae; Streptophyta; Magnoliopsida; Brassicales; Brassicaceae.